Non-coding RNA from Myotis davidii, 74 nucleotides. Lineage: Eukaryota; Metazoa; Chordata; Mammalia; Chiroptera; Vespertilionidae. The record is from Rfam.
GGCAGUUCUCAGGUGACAGACCCUGGAAUUGGGCUCCCUCCUCUCUGGUUCCAGUGCGUCACCCAAGAAUCUCA